UUAGCUUGCUAAGUUUGAUGGCGACCGGCGCACGGGUGAGUAACACGUAUCCAACCUGCCGAUGACUCGGGGAUAGCCUUUCGAAAGAAAGAUUAAUACCCGAUGGCAUAGUUCUUCCGCAUGGUAGAACUAUUAAAGAAUUUCGGUCAUCGAUGGGGAUGCGUUCCAUUAGGUUGUUGGCGGGGUAACGGCCCACCAAGCCUUCGAUGGAUAGGGGUUCUGAGAGGAAGGUCCCCCACAUCGGAACUGAGACACGGUCCAAACUCCUACGGGAGGCAGCAGUGAGGAAUAUUGGUCAAUGGACGAGAGUCUGAACCAGCCAAGUAGCGUGAAGGAUGACUGCCCUAUGGGUUGUAAACUUCUUUUAUACGGGAAUAAAGUGAGGCACGUGUGCCUUUUUGUAUGUACCGUAUGAAUAAGGAUCGGCUAACUCCGUGCCAGCAGCCGCGGUAAUACGGAGGAUCCGAGCGUUAUCCGGAUUUAUUGGGUUUAAAGGGAGCGUAGGCGGACGCUUAAGUCAGUUGUGAAAGUUUGCGGCUCAACCGUAAAAUUGCAGUUGAUACUGGGUGUCUUGAGUACAGUAGAGGCAGGCGGAAUUCGUGGUGUAGCGGUGAAAUGCUUAGAUAUCACGAAGAACUCCGAUUGCGAAGGCAGCUUGCUGGACUGUAACUGACGCUGAUGCUCGAAAGUGUGGGUAUCAAACAGGAUUAGAUACCCUGGUAGUCCACACAGUAAACGAUGAAUACUCGCUGUUUGCGAUAUACAGUAAGCGGCCAAGCGAAAGCGUUAAGUAUUCCACCUGGGGAGUACGCCGGCAACGGUGAAACUCAAAGGAAUUGACGGGGGCCCGCACAAGCGGAGGAACAUGUGGUUUAAUUCGAUGAUACGCGAGGAACCUUACCCGG
This 905-nucleotide ribosomal RNA is filed under the name uncultured bacterium. RNAcentral describes it as "bacterial SSU rRNA". It matches the Rfam family "Bacterial small subunit ribosomal RNA", at positions 75 to 978 of the family's 1533-position model. The record is from RNAcentral.